AUUGUUUUUAUUAUGAUUAAUUCAAACAUAAUGAUGAUUUUGGCGGCUCCCUCUGCUGAGGUUACCCAUUUCAAAAAUAUGCUGAAAAUCGCCUCCUGACCUGAAUGACCUCAUAUUGCCAAUCGUUAACCUUAACUAUACAGGUUGUAUAAGUUAUUGUAUUUUUUCAGUUGAAUACAUCAACAAAUUCGAAUUAUGAUUCAGUUCACUAAUGGAGAAAUUACAUAAUUGCAGUUGGCCAUAGCUAUACUUGGGAGUUAAGAAAUUGUACCAAUCUUUCUCAACUAUCUCACUAAUGAGAAAUUGAUAUGGAAAGAAAGAUCCUCUUUGUAAAGUACCUCACGCAAUGAAUUGGAGUUUUACUUGGGUUUAUGUCAGCUUGGCGAGUGAUUAAAUGUGUUAAUAGGUGUGGAGAAAAAGGAAUAAACCAUUAACAAUGAACAUAUCUGAGAAAAUGUUAUGAAUUUAAGAACACCUAUGUAUUAUAUGACAUUUGAUAAUAAAAGUUCAGACAACA
This is a long non-coding RNA of Harmonia axyridis, 517 nucleotides long. RefSeq lists it as uncharacterized. The record is from RefSeq and is a predicted model, not a curated record. The transcript is spliced from 3 exons. Lineage: Eukaryota; Metazoa; Arthropoda; Insecta; Coleoptera; Coccinellidae.